Molecule: transfer RNA, 72 nt
Filed under: Enterocloster clostridioformis
Lineage: Bacteria; Bacillati; Bacillota; Clostridia; Lachnospirales; Lachnospiraceae
Also listed under: 1 other name
Description: [Clostridium] clostridioforme tRNA-Cys(gca)
Rfam family: tRNA
About the family: Transfer RNA (tRNA) molecules are approximately 80 nucleotides in length. Their secondary structure includes four short double-helical elements and three loops (D, anti-codon, and T loops).
Source: RNAcentral
GGCGACGUAGCCAAGCGGUAAGGCACGGGUCUGCAACACCCUCAUCACCGGUCCGAUUCCGGUCGUCGCCUC